GGGGGUGUAGCUUAGUGGUAGGGCGCAUGCUUAGCAUGCAUGAGGCUCUGGGUUCAAUCCCCAGCACCUCCA
This 72-nucleotide transfer RNA is filed under the name Nomascus leucogenys (northern white-cheeked gibbon). Its description in RNAcentral is "tRNA-Ala (AGC) (tRNA-Ala-AGC-6-1)". It matches the Rfam family "tRNA". Rfam says of the family: Transfer RNA (tRNA) molecules are approximately 80 nucleotides in length. Their secondary structure includes four short double-helical elements and three loops (D, anti-codon, and T loops). Lineage: Eukaryota; Metazoa; Chordata; Mammalia; Primates; Hylobatidae. The record is from Rfam by way of RNAcentral.